AGGCCUAACACAUGCAAGUCGAACGGAUCCUUCGGGAUUAGUGGCGGACGGGUGAGUAACACGUGGGAACGUGCCUUUUGGUUCGGAAUAGCUCCUGGAAACGGGUGGUAAUGCCGAAUGUGCCCUUCGGGGGAAAGAUUUAUCGCCAUUAGAGCGGCCCGCGUCUGAUUAGCUAGUUGGUGAGGUAAAGGCUCACCAAGGCUACGAUCAGUAGCUGGUCUGAGAGGAUGACCAGCCACAUUGGGACUGAGACACGGCCCAAACUCCUACGGGAGGCAGCAGUGGGGAAUCUUGCGCAAUGGGCGAAAGCCUGACGCAGCCAUGCCGCGUGAAUGAUGAAGGUCUUAGGAUUGUAAAAUUCUUUCACCGGGGACGAUAAUGACGGUACCCGGAGAAGAAGCCCCG
RNAcentral lists this ribosomal RNA (405 nucleotides) under alpha proteobacterium BAL92. Its description in RNAcentral is "bacterial SSU rRNA". It matches the Rfam family "Bacterial small subunit ribosomal RNA", at positions 44 to 495 of the family's 1533-position model. Lineage: Bacteria; Pseudomonadati; Pseudomonadota; Alphaproteobacteria. The record is from RNAcentral.